CUCCGGUUGAUCCCGCCCGACCCGACUGCUAUCGGAUUGAGAUUUAGCCAUGCGAGUCGAACGUCCCCCUGUUGCGGGGGGCGUGGCGUACGGCUCAGUAACACGUAGUCAACCUGCCCUGGAGACAAGGACAACCCCGGGAAACUGGGAUUAAUCCUUGAUAGGUCAUCUCAUCUGGAAGGAGAGAUGGCUUAAAGGGGUACGCGGGCUUCUUCCGCGAAUCUGCUCCAGGAUGGGACUGCGUCCGAUCAGGCUGUUGGCGGGGUAAUGGCCCACCAAACCUGUAACCGGUACGGGCCUUGAGAGAGGUGGCCCGGAGAUGGACACUGAGAGAAGGGUCCAGGUCCUACGGGGCGCAGCAGGCGCGAAACCUUCGCAAUGCGCGAAAGCGUGACGAGGUUAAUCCGAGUGACUCCCGCUGAGGGGGUCUUUUGUCAGCUGUAAAUAGGCAGGCGAAUAAGGGGAGGGCAAGCCUGGUGUCAGCCGCCGCGGUAAUACCAGCUCCUCGAGUGGUCGGGGCGAUUAUUGGGCCUAAAGCAUCCGUAGCCGGUUCCGUAGGUCCUCUGUUAAAUCCAACCGCUUAACGGUUGACCUGCAGAGGAUACCGCGGGACUAGGAGGCGGGAGAGGCGGACGGUACUCCGCGUGUAGGGGUAAAAUCCUUUGAUCCGCGGAAGACCACCAGUGGCGAAGGCGGUCCGCCAGAACGCGCUCGACGGUGAGGGAUGAAAGCUGGGGGAGCGAACCGGAUUAGAUACCCGGGUAGUCCCAGCCGUAAACGAUGCUAGCUAGAUGAUUCAUUCGCAAGUCGCGAAUGAAGUGUCGCAGGGAAGCCGUUAAGCUAGCCGCCUGGGGAGUACGGUCGCAAGACUGAAACUUAAAGAAAUUGGCGGGGGAGCA
Molecule: ribosomal RNA, 899 nt
Filed under: uncultured archaeon
Lineage: Archaea
Description: bacterial SSU rRNA
Rfam family: Archaeal small subunit ribosomal RNA
Source: RNAcentral